UUAGCGGCUACAAAUUUACAACGACCAUAUCUCAAACAUUUCGAUUAAGAGCCGUUUACAGAAGCUGCCACUAAGCCUCUGUUGUCUGAAACAACUUCUCAAC
Molecule: long non-coding RNA, 103 nt
Organism: Hibiscus syriacus
Lineage: Eukaryota; Viridiplantae; Streptophyta; Magnoliopsida; Malvales; Malvaceae
Exons: 3
Source: RefSeq, a predicted model, not a curated record